RNAcentral lists this transfer RNA (84 nucleotides) under Candidatus Pacearchaeota archaeon. RNAcentral's name for it is "tRNA-Leu". It matches the Rfam family "tRNA". From Rfam's summary of the family: Transfer RNA (tRNA) molecules are approximately 80 nucleotides in length. Lineage: Archaea; Nanobdellati. The record is from RNAcentral.
GUGGGGAUGCCGGAGUGGCCAAACGGGCUGGCUUUAAGCGCCAGUAGCUUUAUGCUUACGGGGGUUCGAAUCCUCCUCCCCACA